Molecule: ribosomal RNA, 497 nt
Filed under: uncultured bacterium
Lineage: Bacteria
Description: partial 16S ribosomal RNA
Rfam family: Bacterial small subunit ribosomal RNA
Source: RNAcentral
GAUGAACGCUGGCGGCGUGCCUAAUACAUGCAAGUCGAGCGAACGGACGAGAAGCUUGCUUCUCUGAUUUUAGCGGCGGACGGGUGAGUAACACGUGGAUAACCUACCUAUAAGACUGGGAUAACUUCGUGAAACCGGAGCUAAUACCGGCUAAUAUUUUGAACCGCAUGGUUCAAAAGUGUAAGACGGUCUUGCUGUCACUUAUAGAUGGAUCCGCGCUGCAUUAGCUAGUUGGUAAGGUAACGGCUUACCAAGGCAACGAUGCAUAGCCGACCUGAGAGGGUGAUCGGCCACACUGGAACUGAGACACGGUCCAGACUCCUACGGGAGGCAGCAGUAGGGAAUCUUGCGCAAUGGGCGAAAGCCUGACGGAGCAACGCCGCGUGAGUGAUGAAGGUCUUCGGAUCGUAAAACACUGUUAUUAGGGAAGAACAGAUGUGAAAGUAAAUGUGCACAUAUUGACGGUACCUAAUCAGAAAGCCACGGCUAACUACGUG